ACCUGUUCUGUCUCUCUAGCUGAAAGUUUCUCUAUGGGUCAUUGAUUUAAACCGUUAAACCCACAUAACAUGGAUUUUUUUUUCAGCUGAACAACUCAGGCCCCCACAUAAAAGUGUCAGCUAUGACACAAGAACAGAAGCAGCCAUCAGGACAUCAUAAAGCAAUAGUUGGAGAAGACAGGCAGGAUGAUGACUCAAGAUACCAUCCUCAUGUGGCUGGUAGUGUCAUGCAUGCUGACAGGACGUCUAAUAAGAAAAAAAUAACUUGACUACUUGCCAGAGGUCCUGCUGAUAACCUUCAGCUUGCCGCUGCUGUGGUCUUCCCUGGGUCAUCUUUUGUAAGGUC
This is a long non-coding RNA of Paralichthys olivaceus (Japanese flounder), 346 nucleotides long. RefSeq lists it as uncharacterized. The record is from RefSeq and is a predicted model, not a curated record. Lineage: Eukaryota; Metazoa; Chordata; Actinopteri; Pleuronectiformes; Paralichthyidae.